This 919-nucleotide long non-coding RNA is filed under the name Ficedula albicollis (Collared flycatcher). RNAcentral describes it as "lncRNA (ENSFALG00000026354.1)". The record is from RNAcentral. Lineage: Eukaryota; Metazoa; Chordata; Aves; Passeriformes; Muscicapidae.
AUGUUUGAUUCCUUUGUUGCUUCUACAGGAAUUCCUUCCAAAAUGUCAACAAUAGCAAUGAAGCAGGAAACCGAUGAUCCUAAUUACUAUCAAUUUGGUGCUUCAGCAGGCCCUUCCAAAACAUCAGAGAUAGAGGAAGAAAUUGCUCCUGUAAAAAGUUACACAGAUUCGUCCCAGCAGCAUGGCAUGUCAGAAUUCAGAAUGGAUACUGAGCCAGAAAUCACUAGUGAUGAUGAUGUAGAUGAUGAUGAUGAUGAUGAUGACUAUCCACCCCCUGAAAAGAGACGGAAAAUCUCUGAGCUGGAAAAUCAAGCUUCCAAUAUUGUGGGAAGAACUGCAGAAGAGUUCAGUUUUGGUAAGAUGAAUAUUAACAAUUAUUUUAUCUUCCAGUAUUGUUUUUUGAAAAGGUUUUGGGGUAAUUUUGUCCUUCAAGAACAUUCAGUAUGCUCACAAAAAAACUUGUCACAUCAAUGGAUCACUUAGAACCUUUUUUACUGAAUUAAAGAGGCUGAAAAAUAGAAAAUAUGCAGCAUUUUUGGAAGUUCAUUCAGGAGCCAUGGGCUCUGUGUAGGUGGAUUGCAGCAGCACUAUCAUCAUCACGGUUUACCUCUGUUAUUUUUUGUUAUUUGUUGUGACAACGUAAAUAGACACACGGGAAGCUGGGAUCCUCAGGUUGUGUUCUUUCAUGAUCCAUUAUGUUUUGAGUUCUCCACAGAAACUCAUCCAUGCACUUCUGUUUAAUCUGGUUACAGGUGCUUUGCCUAGGAUUAUUUUGUGAUCCUGUUCCUCUUCUUAGUUCUGUUAUGUGGUUUGGUUUGGUUUGUGAACAAAUUAAUCUGUCUGCUUUUAUAAGAUUCUGUGCAGUCAGGAAUAUCUUAAAACAUCACUUAAACUUAACAGAACUAAACCUUAACAUCAC